RNAcentral lists this long non-coding RNA (304 nucleotides) under Homo sapiens (human). Its description in RNAcentral is "HSALNT0381116". Lineage: Eukaryota; Metazoa; Chordata; Mammalia; Primates; Hominidae. The record is from RNAcentral.
CAGACAACAUGGCAUCAGCCAAGUGGAAAGCCCAUUUGCAUAAUAAGAAGAUUAGGAUGGGGUGGCCAGCUUCCUCAUGCUAUGAGGGGCCUGGUAGGAGGUGACAGGAUCAUGGGGGUCAAUUUCCACCUUGCUGUUCUCUCAUGAUAGUGAGUAAGUACUCAUGAGAUCUGGUUGUUUAAAAGUGUGUAGCACUUCCCCCUUCACUCUCUGUCUCCUGCUCUGCAAUGUUAACAUGUGCCUGCUUCCCCUUCACCUUCCUCCAUGAUUGUAAGUUUCCUAAGGCCUCUGUACCCAUGCUUCC